GACUUUCAAGUGGAAUUGGGUCGGUUAUUGUCUUUGUUGCCGGAGGAAAUGCGGCGAGGAGUUAGCGAACACCCGGAAUAUUCCAAUUUAAUUGAGGUGGUUAUGGACUUAGGUCGUAAGCCACUUGCUCGCUUCCCUUCUGGAGAUUUCAUCUUAUCCGAUCAACCGAUUACUUUGGGUGAUCUUCAACAAGCUACCUCGCAGGUUGGUGACUUUGCAGUUGACAAUAG
RNAcentral lists this unclassified non-coding RNA (230 nucleotides) under Hevea brasiliensis (rubber tree). Lineage: Eukaryota; Viridiplantae; Streptophyta; Magnoliopsida; Malpighiales; Euphorbiaceae. The record is from RNAcentral.